Molecule: long non-coding RNA, 1405 nt
Organism: Schistocerca americana (American grasshopper)
Lineage: Eukaryota; Metazoa; Arthropoda; Insecta; Orthoptera; Acrididae
Exons: 2
Source: RefSeq, a predicted model, not a curated record
CUGUGUCAGAAAUACUUUAUUUAUGAGUAAACAUGCAUAUGACGUUAGAAGUGUGAUUCUCGAUUUCUACGUGUAAUGCCUUAAUUGACGAAAGGAGACGUUUGAUUUGAUUGCAUCUAUCAUUUUAUUUCAGUGUGCCAGUGAAGAGGAGUCGAUUUAUGCGAAAGGUGGGGCAAUAUUGCAUGCUUUGUUCACACGCAUCCUCCACUUGACUGCCAUCUGGCGGUCGUAAUCAUUCGGCACGACUCGGAAUGAUUCGGAAGUUGCCUUCGAUCGAAGCAUAGCCUAGCCCUAGUGCGUACUGCGUAGCGUACGAAGAAUCAAUGAACCGUUGGAGCUUGGAAUCGUCACGACUCGGAAACACGCAAUUGUUCUUACGAUUCUUUUGCACGACGAUUCGUCCGUAUCACGAUUCGAUUCUUACGAUUCUUUAUUUAGAGUCGUUCAAAUGAACGACUCAUUCACGAAUAACCACAACUCUAGUCAGCAGGGGGUAACGAGACAUCGUUACCUUGACAUUCAAAGGGUUAAGGGCCUUUUUUGUGUUAUAUUAUAUGCAGUGUUGCAGACUUCACUAUUCAACAUGUCACAAAGACUUUAACUCAUUUGUGUGACUUUGUUGCAAAUUUGUUGGAGUGUUGUAGAACCUUCGUUUUUCUAUCCUGUUAUCUGCCCCUGGAGCAUUGCCUUUGACGAAAACGCAGAAGACUGGACAGUGUAUGCUGCACAAUUUGGGGCCAACCUAGCAGCCCACUACAAAUCAGAUUCCUGGUCAAUGCAACCCAAGCGCCAUCCUUCACAGUGGGGUCACGCAAUGCUGUUUUCGGACCUCGAGCUGGUGGACAUCAAUCCGAUGCCGCAUCCGCCCACUAGCAGAUGUCCGGCAGCACCUGCCAUGUCACCACUACUGGGUAACCACCACGCUGAGGCCUCCCGAGGGGCCUCCAGUUAGACAGAUGCUGUUGCGGAUUCACAUCAUCAAGAAGAUGCCCUGCCAAUGGGUGCCGGGAUGCACUUCCUGCGUUGUUUUUCUGCCGGUGUUUCACCAGCACCACAGGCAGCAUUGAGGCUGAAGAUAUCAAAUUUGCCUCGGCCAUUUGCCAGCUGAGUAGAAUCCGCCAAUGACCGAACAACAACAGACAGAAAGCUACUCAGAAGACAGAAGAGCAGUUCUCGCCCACUUGGUUAUAGAUCCUCGUCCAGAGCUGACUUAGACAGGGACCGUUGUUUAGUGAACACUUAGAAAUCAACAGACAGUUGUAAUUUGCAUUUGCUAUUACUGUGAAGCUUAUAUACUAUUAUUUGCAUUUAGCCAUUGAGGGCCUUUUUUUCUGUUAUAUUACAUAUAGUGUGGCAGACUUCAUUAUUCAACAAAUCACAAAAAUAAAUAAACCUUUUUAACUAA